UCCCGUGAUUUUAGCGAAGAGGUCACACCUGUUCCCAUCCCGAACACAGCAGUUAAGCUCUUCAGCGCCGAUGAUACUUUAACAGGGAAAGUAGGUCAUCGCGGGAA
This 107-nucleotide ribosomal RNA is filed under the name Parcubacteria group bacterium. The record is from RNAcentral.